RNAcentral lists this ribosomal RNA (441 nucleotides) under uncultured bacterium. RNAcentral's name for it is "bacterial SSU rRNA". It matches the Rfam family "Bacterial small subunit ribosomal RNA", at positions 338 to 795 of the family's 1533-position model. The record is from RNAcentral.
CCUANGGGCGGCUGCAGUAGGGAAUAUUGGGCAAUGGGCGAAAGCCUGACCCAGCAACGCCGCGUGCGCGAUGAAGGUCUUCGGAUCGUAAAGCGCUUUUCUGAGGGAUGAGCAAGGACAGUACCUCAGGAAUAAGUCUCGGCUAACUACGUGCCAGCAGCCGCGGUAAAACGUAGGAGGCAAGCGUUAUCCGGAUUUACUGGGCGUAAAGCGUGUGCAGGUGGUUUGGUAAGUUGGAUGUGAAAGCUCCUGGCUCAACUGGGAGAGGUCGUUCAAUACUACCAGACUUGAGAGCAGUAGAGGGAGGUGGAAUUCCCGGUGUAGUGGUGAAAUGCGUAGAUAUCGGGAGGAACACCAGUGGCGAAAGCGGCCUCCUGGACUGUUUCUGACACUCAGACACGAAAGCUAGGGUAGCAAACGGGAUUAGAUACCCUGNUANUC